UCGAUUAUCAUCAGGCAUAAUCGAUUAUCAUGCAAUUCUGGGCAGAGAUUAAUGAACUGAUAAUCGAUUAUCACGAGCCAUAAUCGAUUAUCACGCUAACAAUUUCAAAAAUAGAGCCGUUGGAGCGUCCCAUAACGGCUAUAAACGGCUAGUUUUUCCAUUUUUCUUAUAAAUAGCCCCCCAUAAUCGAUUAUUAGACACUCCUUUGCAACCAAAUACNGCUAAAAUCAAAUCCAGAGCUCAAAAUCUCUUCAUUUCUCUUUCACUUCAUAAACCUUCAUCUUUUCCAUCUUCAUCCAUGGCUGAACCAAGAAGGUAUCGUCGCAAAACAGCUGGAGCCCCUUCCUCCUCUCA
RNAcentral lists this long non-coding RNA (354 nucleotides) under Vigna radiata. RNAcentral's name for it is "long non-coding RNA (VRAD_LNC015131)". The record is from RNAcentral. Lineage: Eukaryota; Viridiplantae; Streptophyta; Magnoliopsida; Fabales; Fabaceae.